Molecule: transfer RNA, 87 nt
Filed under: Telmatocola sphagniphila
Lineage: Bacteria; Pseudomonadati; Planctomycetota; Planctomycetia; Gemmatales; Gemmataceae
Rfam family: tRNA
About the family: Transfer RNA (tRNA) molecules are approximately 80 nucleotides in length. Their secondary structure includes four short double-helical elements and three loops (D, anti-codon, and T loops).
Source: Rfam by way of RNAcentral
GGAGAGGUGGCUGAGUGGUCUAAAGCACGGCUUUGCUAAAGCCGCGUAGGGGAAACCUUACCGCGGGUUCGAAUCCCGCCCUCUCCG